Molecule: ribosomal RNA, 859 nt
Filed under: uncultured marine bacterium
Lineage: Bacteria
Description: bacterial SSU rRNA
Rfam family: Bacterial small subunit ribosomal RNA
Source: RNAcentral
AGAGUUUGAUCCUGGCUCAGAACGAACGCUGGCGGCAGGCCUAACACAUGCAAGUCGAGCGCGCUUUCGGGUGAGCGGCGGACGGGUUAGUAACGCGUGGGAACGUGCCCUUCUCUACGGAAUAGCCUCUGGAAACGGAGAGUAAUACCGUAUACGCCCUUUGGGGGAAAGAUUUAUCGGAGAAGGAUCGGCCCGCGUUAGAUUAGGUAGUUGGUGGGGUAAUGGCCUACCAAGCCUACGAUCUAUAGCUGGUUUUAGAGGAUGAUCAGCAACACUGGGACUGAGACACGGCCCAGACUCCUACGGGAGGCAGCAGUGGGGAAUCUUAGACAAUGGGGGCAACCCUGAUCUAGCCAUGCCGCGUGAGUGAUGAAGGCCUUAGGGUCGUAAAGCUCUUUCGCCUGUGAUGAUAAUGACAGUAGCAGGUAAAGAAACCCCGGCUAACUCCGUGCCAGCAGCCGCGGUAAUACGGAGGGGGUUAGCGUUGUUCGGAAUUACUGGGCGUAAAGCGCGCGUAGGCGGAUUAGAAAGUUGGGGGUGAAAUCCCGGGGCUCAACCUCGGAACUGCCUCCAAAACUGCUAGUCUAGAGUUCGAGAGAGGUGAGUGGAAUUCCGAGUGUAGAGGUGAAAUUCGUAGAUAUUCGGAGGAACACCAGUGGCGAAGGCGGCUCACUGGCUCGAUACUGACGCUGAGGUGCGAAAGUGUGGGGAGCAAACAGGAUUAGAUACCCUGGUAGUCCACACCGUAAACGAUGAAUGCCAGUCGUCGGGUAGUAUACUAUUCGGUGACACACCUAACGGAUUAAGCAUUCCGCCUGGGGAGUACGGUCGCAAGAUUAAAACUCAAAGGAAUUGACGG